CUAGUAGUUUGAGAACUUGUAAUAGUGGCAGAUAUAAAUGUUUUCAACUAAUUCAGAAAUCCAGACUCAGUGCUAAUGAUUGACCGAAUUCUAUAACCAAGUUAACAAAUUUUAACUAUCACAUGUUCACAACUACAAAGCUGAAUGACAAACAGAAAUACUACCCCAUGUUUACAACUGAGAAACAAAAUGUAUUUGCAGCAACAGGUAUGGAUAUGAAGACUCAAACGUAAAAUAUGAUUCACGGAAUUACAUGGCACCAAUUCAAAGUGCU
Molecule: long non-coding RNA, 274 nt
Filed under: Arachis ipaensis
Lineage: Eukaryota; Viridiplantae; Streptophyta; Magnoliopsida; Fabales; Fabaceae
Description: long non-coding RNA (AIPA_LNC001059)
Source: RNAcentral